RNAcentral lists this ribosomal RNA (253 nucleotides) under uncultured bacterium. RNAcentral describes it as "partial 16S ribosomal RNA". It matches the Rfam family "Bacterial small subunit ribosomal RNA", at positions 524 to 776 of the family's 1533-position model. The record is from RNAcentral.
UACGUAGGGGGCAAGCGUUGUCCGGAAUCAUUGGGCGUAAAGCGCGUGUAGGCGGCCCGAUAAGUCCGCUGUGAAAGUCCAGGGCUCAACCCUCGGAAGCCGGUGGAUACUGUCGGGCUAGAGUACGGAAGAGGCGAGUGGAAUUCCUGGUGUAGCGGUGAAAUGCGCAGAUAUCAGGAGGAACACCAAUUGCGAAGGCAGCUCGCUGGGACGUUACUGACGCUGAGACGCGAAAGCGUGGGGAGCAAACAGG